CUAUUACUAUUUCACCGGCCAUAAAUCCGGCACCCGGCUGUGGAUUCUCGUAAAAUUUGGUAUCAAAAGAAAUAUUUUCUCCUCGUGCACAAUCUCCAAUUGGUUUCAUAGCCAAAAUCAUAGCCAAAUUUUCCAAAUCUUAAUUUUUAAGAUCGAGUUACUGUAGCCGACGAAAUUUUCAGCUUCUUCUUCACGUAAAUGGAACUUUGAAGAUCAUUCGGCUAUGGAUUCUCGCAAAAUGUGGUAUAAAAAAGAAACAUCUACUCUUCGUGCACAAUCCCCAGUUGGUUUCAUAGCCAAAAUCAUAACCAAUUUUUCCAGAUCUUAAUUUUAAAGUUCGAGUUACUGUAGCAUGUUUUGGUGAAGAUUUAUGAUACAUUGAAUUUUAAUAUCCCUAUUUUCAUUUCAAUUGUAGAUUGUUCUGUUAGAAGAUUUUGAAGAAGUUUUAGUAAUAAUCUACAAUUUUGAGGGGUUUUGGUGAAGAUUUAGACUUGAUCUUGACUGAAUUUCAGAUUGAAACUUGAAGAAGAAGACAUAUUUGCAGAAAUUAUAGAUAAAUUAUAGACUAUUUUUUCCAUAAGAUUUUGUAGAAGUUUUAGUCGUUUUGGAUUUGUGAAAACAGAAAAUAAUGCAUCCACAAUCAGAAUACAAAUAAUAUGCAAUUUAUCUAUAAACUGGAUACAUUGAAUUUUAACAUCUCAAUUCUCAUUUAUAGCUUUUUAAUGGCUAUCAAUGGUGGAAAAUAUAUGGAAGAACAGAUGAAGAUGAAGAACAGAAAUCUCAACAUCAUCCUGUAUUUUUUUGAAGCAGAUUGUAGAUUAGUAGUCUUAAUUUUGUAAAUAAAUUAUUAUAUCGAUUAUCUACAGUUUAUAAUUGUAGGUAUUUGUAGUCAUUUUGUAUUUAUAUUCUAAUUUGUCUUUAUAUUUUGAAGCUGAG
This 936-nucleotide long non-coding RNA is filed under the name Nicotiana benthamiana. RNAcentral's name for it is "long non-coding RNA (NBEN_LNC036979)". Lineage: Eukaryota; Viridiplantae; Streptophyta; Magnoliopsida; Solanales; Solanaceae. The record is from RNAcentral.